This 88-nucleotide transfer RNA is filed under the name Chloroflexota bacterium. Its description in RNAcentral is "tRNA-Leu". It matches the Rfam family "tRNA". Rfam says of the family: Transfer RNA (tRNA) molecules are approximately 80 nucleotides in length. Their secondary structure includes four short double-helical elements and three loops (D, anti-codon, and T loops). Lineage: Bacteria; Bacillati; Chloroflexota. The record is from RNAcentral.
GCCGGGAUGGCGGAAUUGGCAGACGCGGCGGACUUAAAAUCCGCUGGCCUUAUUGGCCGUGUGGGUUCGAGCCCCUCUCCCGGUACCA